Molecule: small nuclear RNA, 120 nt
Filed under: Erythranthe guttata (spotted monkey flower)
Lineage: Eukaryota; Viridiplantae; Streptophyta; Magnoliopsida; Lamiales; Phrymaceae
Description: Mimulus guttatus (spotted monkey flower) U5 spliceosomal RNA
Rfam family: U5 spliceosomal RNA
About the family: U5 RNA is a component of both types of known spliceosome.
Source: Rfam by way of RNAcentral
AGUUGCGAGGUAAGCACAUAGCGAACUAUUCUUUCGCCUUUUACUAAAGAAUACCGUGUGCUUGCCGCUUUUCAAGCAGCAUACGCCUCUUUUUGGAGGGUUUUUUUCUCUUUAGGAAUU